This 233-nucleotide unclassified non-coding RNA is filed under the name plant metagenome. Its description in RNAcentral is "partial contains small subunit ribosomal RNA and internal transcribed spacer 1". The stretch from base 1 to 46 matches the Rfam family "Eukaryotic small subunit ribosomal RNA", at positions 1786 to 1831 of the family's 1831-position model. The record is from RNAcentral.
AAGUCGUAACAAGGUUUCCGUAGGUGAACCUGCGGAAGGAUCAUUACCGAGAGAGGGGCUUCGCGCUCCCGGGGGCUUCGGCCUCCACCUCUUCACCCAUUGCGUACCUACCUUUGUUGCUUUGGCGGGCCAUGGGGUUCGCCCCACGCCGGCCUAUGCGCUGGUGAGCGCCCGUCAGAGGUCCUCAAAAUUCUGUUUAUAGUGACGUCCGAGUUAAACACAAAUAGUUAAAA